Molecule: non-coding RNA, 62 nt
Organism: Taeniopygia guttata (zebra finch)
Lineage: Eukaryota; Metazoa; Chordata; Aves; Passeriformes; Estrildidae
Source: Rfam
AAUCAUCAGCCAGAAAAACACUGCUGCACUAGUGAUUACUGGAAAUAAAAGUCCUGUUGAAA